GAUGAACGCUGGCGGCGUGCUUAACACAUGCCAGUCGAACGGAAAGGCUCCUGCUUGCAGGGGUACUCGAGUGGCGAACGGGUGAGUAACACGUGGGUGAUCUGCCCUGCACUUCGGGAUAAGCCUGGGAAACUGGGUCUAAUACCGGAUAGGACCACAUUUUGGAUGGUGUGGUGGAAAGUUUUUCGGUGUGGGAUGAGCUCGCGGCCUAUCAGCUUGUUGGUGGGGUAAUGGCCUACCAAGGCGUCGACGGGUAGCCGGCCUGAGAGGGUGUACGGCCACAUUGGGACUGAGAUACGGCCCAGACUCCUACGGGAGGCAGCAGUGGGGAAUAUUGCACAAUGGGCGCAAGCCUGAUGCAGCGACGCCGCGUGGGGGAUGACGGCCUUCGGGUUGUAAACUCCUUUCGCUAGGGUCGAAGCGCAAGUGACGGUACCUGGAGAAGAAGCACCGGCUAACUACGUG
Molecule: ribosomal RNA, 465 nt
Filed under: uncultured bacterium
Lineage: Bacteria
Description: partial 16S ribosomal RNA
Rfam family: Bacterial small subunit ribosomal RNA
Source: RNAcentral